GAUGAACGCUGGCGGCGUGCUUAACACAUGCAAGUCGAACGGGAAUGCUUCGCUGAUGCGAUUUCGGUCAAAUCUUGAAGCAUUUUAGUGGCGGACGGGUGAGUAACGCGUGGGUAACCUGCCCUGUACAGGGGGACAACAGUUGGAAACGACUGCUAAUACCGCAUAAGCGCACAGCUUCGCAUGAAGCGGGGUGAAAACCUCCGGUGGUACAGGAUGGACCCGCGUCUGAUUAGAUAGUUGGUGAGGUAACGGCCCACCAAGUCGACGAUCAGUAGCCGGCCUGAGAGGGCGAACGGCCACAUUGGGACUGAGACACGGCCCAAACUCCUACGGGAGGCAGCAGUGGGGAAUAUUGCACAAUGGGGGAAACCCUGAUGCAGCGACGCCGCGUGUGUGAAGAAGUAUUUCGGUAUGUAAAGCUCUAUCAGCAGGGAAGAAAGACAUGACGGUACCUGACUAAGAAGCCCCGGCUAACUACGUGCCAGCAGCCGCAGUAA
RNAcentral lists this ribosomal RNA (500 nucleotides) under uncultured bacterium. Its description in RNAcentral is "partial 16S ribosomal RNA". It matches the Rfam family "Bacterial small subunit ribosomal RNA", at positions 28 to 523 of the family's 1533-position model. The record is from RNAcentral.